GUUCCACACACUUCACAGAUUGGGGUGAGUGGGAGAUUGAUUUCAACUGUUUCAGUUAAAAAAGAAGAAAGAGUUGAAGCAUCGCUUUGUACAGUUUAACAAUGUUUUGUUGGCUCGAAAACAAGAAAGCGACCGAUGAAGACAGAGCAUCAGAUCCCUGCACCGGAAGAAUGGGGGCGAGCUGAUUUCAAGUUUUUAACUGAUUACAUAUAAUGGGGUGGGUCCCAUUUUCACUGUUCAAUAAAAGAGAGAGAGAGAGAG
Molecule: unclassified non-coding RNA, 261 nt
Filed under: Hevea brasiliensis (rubber tree)
Lineage: Eukaryota; Viridiplantae; Streptophyta; Magnoliopsida; Malpighiales; Euphorbiaceae
Source: RNAcentral